CCCUUAGAUGUCCUGGGCCGCACGCGCGCUACACUGACAUGUUCAACAAGCCUCCUAGUUCGACAGGAUUUGGGAAAUCUUUGAACGCAUGUCGUGAUAGGGAUAGAUCAUUGCAAUUAUUGAUCUUGAACGAGGAAUUCCUAGUAAACGCGAGUCAUCAGCUCGCAUUGAUUACGUCCCUGCCCUUUGUACACACCGCCCGUCGCACCUACCGAUUGAAUGUUUCGGUGAAGAUUCCGGAUAGGACUUUUUUGAUUUAUUUCAAUUCUGUCUUAAAAGCUAUCUAAACCUCAACAUUUGGAGGAAGGUGAAGUCGUAACA
RNAcentral lists this ribosomal RNA (321 nucleotides) under uncultured eukaryote. Its description in RNAcentral is "partial 18S ribosomal RNA". It matches the Rfam family "Eukaryotic small subunit ribosomal RNA", at positions 1470 to 1796 of the family's 1831-position model. The record is from RNAcentral.